GCCCUUAGAGUUUGAUCCUGGCUCAGAACGAACGCUGGCGGCAGGCCUAACACAUGCAAGUCGAGCGAGGACUUCGGUCCUAGCGGCGGACGGGUGAGUAACGCGUGGGAACGUGCCCUUUGCUACGGAACAGUCCCGGGAAACUGGGUUUAAUACCGUAUACGCCCUUCGGGGGAAAGAUUUAUCGGCAAAGGAUCGGCCCGCGUUGGAUUAGGUAGUUGGUGGGGUAAUGGCCUACCAAGCCGACGAUCCAUAGCUGGUUUGAGAGGAUGAUCAGCCACACUGGGACUGAGACACGGUCCAGACUCCUACGGGAGGCAGCAGUGGGGAAUCUUAGACAAUGGGGGCAACCCUGAUCUAGCCAUGCCGCGUGAGUGAAGAAGGCCCUACGGUUGUAAAGCUCUUUCAGCGGGGAAGAUAAUGACGGUACCCGCAGAAGAAGCCCCGGCUAACUCCGUGCCAGCAGCCGCGGUAAUACGGAGGGCGCUAGCUUUGUU
Molecule: ribosomal RNA, 497 nt
Filed under: uncultured Alphaproteobacteria bacterium
Lineage: Bacteria; Pseudomonadati; Pseudomonadota; Alphaproteobacteria
Description: bacterial SSU rRNA
Rfam family: Bacterial small subunit ribosomal RNA
Source: RNAcentral